This 370-nucleotide ribosomal RNA is filed under the name uncultured organism. Its description in RNAcentral is "partial 16S ribosomal RNA". It matches the Rfam family "Bacterial small subunit ribosomal RNA", at positions 527 to 896 of the family's 1533-position model. The record is from RNAcentral.
GUAGGUGGCAAGCGUUGUCCGGAAUUAUUGGGCGUAAAGCGCGCGCAGGCGGUUCUUUAAGUCUGAUGUGAAAGCCCACGGCUCAACCGUGGAGGGUCAUUGGAAACUGGAGAACUUGAGUACAGAAGAGGAAAGCGGAAUUCCACGUGUAGCGGUGAAAUGCGUAGAGAUGUGGAGGAACACCAGUGGCGAAGGCGGCUUUCUGGUCUGUAACUGACGCUGAGGCGCGAAAGCGUGGGGAGCAAACAGGAUUAGAUACCCUGGUAAUCCACGCCGUAAACGAUGAGUGCUAAGUGUUAGGGGGUUUCCGCCCCCCUUAGUGCUGCAGCUAACGCAUUAAGCAUUCCGCCUGGGAUACGGCGCAAGGCUG